Molecule: ribosomal RNA, 870 nt
Filed under: Amanita fritillaria
Lineage: Eukaryota; Fungi; Basidiomycota; Agaricomycetes; Agaricales; Amanitaceae
Description: eukaryotic LSU rRNA
Rfam family: Eukaryotic large subunit ribosomal RNA
Source: RNAcentral
UUAGUAACUGCGAGUGAAGAGGGAAAAGCUCAAAUUUAAAAUCUGGCAGCAUUUUGCUGUCCGAGUUGUAACCUAGAGAAGUGUAACCUGUGCUGGACCGUGUAUAAGUUUCCUGGAAUGGAGCAUCACAGAGGGUGAGAAUCCCGUCUUUGACAUGGACUACCAGUGCAUUGUGGUUGUGCUCUCAACGAGUCGAGUUGUUUGGGAAUGCAGCUCUAAAUGGGUGGUAAAUUCCAUCUAAAGCUAAAUAUUGGCGAGAGACCGAUAGCGAACAAGUACCGUGAGGGAAAGAUGAAAAGAACUUUGGAAAGAGAGUUAAACAGUAUGUGAAAUUGUUGAAAGGGAAACGUUUGAAGUCAGUCGCGUUAGCUGGGGAUCAGCCUGACAUUGUUGGGUGCACUUCCUGGUUGACGGGCCAACAUCAGUUUUGACUGCCAGAAAAAGGCCAAGGGAAUGUGGCACCUUUGGGUGUGUUAUAGCCUUUGGUCAUAUAUGGUGGUUGGGACUGAGGAACGCAGUGUGCCGAAAGGCCGGGUUUCGACCACGUUCACACUGAGGAUGUUGGCAUAAUGGCUUUAAGCGACCCGUCUUGAAACACGGACCAAGGAGUCUAACAUGCAUGCGAGUGUUUGGGUGGAAAACCCUUACGCGUAAUGAAAGUGAAAGUUGAGAUCCCUGUCGUGGGGAGCAUCGACGCCCGGACCAGAACUUUUGGGACGGAUCUGCGGUAGAGCACGUAUGUUGGGACCCGAAAGAUGGUGAACUAUGCCUGAAUAGGGUGAAGCCAGAGGAAACUCUGGUGGAGGCUCGUAGCGAUUCUGACGUGCAAAUCGAUCGUCAAAUUUGGGUAUAGGGGCGAAAGACUAAUCG